GGCCGGGUAGCUCAGUCGGUAGAGCAGGGGAUUGAAAAUCCCCGUGUCGGCGGUUCGAUUCCGUCCCCGGCCA
Non-coding RNA from Thioalkalivibrio sp. K90mix, 73 nucleotides. Lineage: Bacteria; Pseudomonadati; Pseudomonadota; Gammaproteobacteria; Chromatiales; Ectothiorhodospiraceae. The record is from Rfam.